ACAAGCGGAGGAGCAUGUGGUUUAAUUCGAUGAUACGCGAGGAACCUUACCUGGGCGUCGAACGUAAGAUGACUGUAGGUGAAAGCUUACAUCUCUUCGGAGCAUUUUACGAGGUGCUGCAUGGUUGUCGUCAGCUCGUGCCGUGAGGUGUCGGGUUAAGUCCCAUAACGAGCGCAACCCUACCUUUAGUUGCCAUCAGGUUAAGCUGGGGACUCUAAAGGAACUGCCUACGCAAGUAGUGAGGAAGGCGGGGAUGACGUCAAAUCAGCACGGCCCUUACGUCCAGGGCUACACACGUGCUACAAUGGCCGAUACAGAGGGCAGCUACCUGGUGACAGGAUGCAAAUCUCCAAAGUCGGUCUCAGUUCGGAUCGGAGUCUGCAACCCGACUCCGUGAAGUUGGAUUCGCUAGUAAUCGCGCAUCAGCCAUGGCGCGGUGAAUACGUUCCCGGGCCUU
RNAcentral lists this ribosomal RNA (457 nucleotides) under uncultured Sphingobacteriales bacterium. RNAcentral describes it as "bacterial SSU rRNA". It matches the Rfam family "Bacterial small subunit ribosomal RNA", at positions 925 to 1382 of the family's 1533-position model. Lineage: Bacteria; Pseudomonadati; Bacteroidota; Sphingobacteriia; Sphingobacteriales. The record is from RNAcentral.